Long non-coding RNA from Zea mays, 397 nucleotides. RefSeq lists it as uncharacterized. The transcript is spliced from 2 exons. NCBI's taxonomy places the organism in Eukaryota, Viridiplantae, Streptophyta, Magnoliopsida, Poales, Poaceae. The record is from RefSeq and is a predicted model, not a curated record.
AGAUUCUAAAAGCGUUCUUUCAAUUGUGGCUGAACUAAAACCCCUAGAGAUAGAUCCUUUAUCCCCUAAUGCUAGCCACUUGAUGGAUGAUGAGGAACAUGGCCGAGAUAGUGAUUCCCAAUUCAUGAAUGAAGAUGGCGAGCUAUGAAGAAAUCUUGCGAAUGUGUGUUUGAUGUCAUGGACUCAUGAAGACAUUGAAGAACUUAUAUUGUGUCCAUAUGUGUGUGUCCGUGUGUGACUGAGACUAUUAUUCUCUUAACUAUUAUUGUGUCUGGACUGAAUUUAUGUAAGUUUACUUGUUGGAUUUGGAUUUGUGCUAUGUGCUCAUGUACUAUUGUGGACUUAUUUUCUUGUUGUUCAAUGGCUAUGUCGGUGGACUUAUUUUCCUGUUGUUCAA